Molecule: ribosomal RNA, 215 nt
Filed under: uncultured bacterium
Lineage: Bacteria
Description: partial 16S ribosomal RNA
Rfam family: Bacterial small subunit ribosomal RNA
Source: RNAcentral
UACGGAGGGGGCUAGCGUUGUUCGGAAUUACUGGGCGUAAAGCGCACGUAGGCGGCGAUUUAAGUCAGAGGUGAAAGCCCGGGGCUCAACCCCGGAAUAGCCUUUGAGACUGGAUUGCUAGAAUCUUGGAGAGGCGAGUGGAAUUCCGAGUGUAGAGGUGAAAUUCGUAGAUAUUCGGAAGAACACCAGUGGCGAAGGCGGCUCGCUGGACGAAG